RNAcentral lists this long non-coding RNA (1173 nucleotides) under Myripristis murdjan (pinecone soldierfish). Its description in RNAcentral is "lncRNA (ENSMMDG00005008932.1)". Lineage: Eukaryota; Metazoa; Chordata; Actinopteri; Holocentriformes; Holocentridae. The record is from RNAcentral.
CGGAGAGAGAGAGAGAGAGGAUGUGUGUCCAUGUCCUGCUGCUGUCGAUCGCCCUGAGCUGCUCAGCUGAAGCUUUCCAAGAUGAUCAGCAAAGCCACCGGCCAGUUGCCAUGACGAUGGACGCCAGCCAGUCUCCGGCGCAGGCCCCUCCCCCUUGUCCGUGCCCCACCCCCGACCUGUCGGCACUGACCCAGGACCGCCAGCAGGAGGCGCAGUGGAGGACGGAGCUGCUGGCUCUGCUCUCCCAGCUGGUCUCAGGUCAGAAGGAGGUGGCAGGAGGCCAGGUGGAGGUGCUCAAGCUGCUGGGCACGCUGGCCAAUCAGGGAUCGCAGCAGAUCCUGGAUCUGCAGAACAUGGCUCGUCAUCAGAGUCUCCUGGUGGAAAACAACCAGGCGCUGCUGCUGCAGACGUCCCGCAUCGCCACCCACCUGCAGGGCGGCGCCAGGAGGCCCGACGGCCAGUGACCUCACAGAUUAUCACAGAUUAUACGGAUAAAUAGAUAAACAAUGGAAUAAACUGUUCUCACCCCGCGAACCAAUGACAUUUCCUGUUUUUAACAAGCUAACCAAUGAGAUUAUCAAUUGUUAACCAGCCAGCCGCUAACAGUUCACUAGCUCGUCAGUGAGAUUAUAAUUUUGGCCAGUGGCGUUAAUCUGCCAGCCAGUGAGAGUGUCUUCCAGCUGGCUGAAGGUGUGUAUUGUGUAAUUCCCUGGGCGUGAUGAGGCCACAUGACGGUAAAAUAUCAUUGCUCCGUGCUCCCUUGGGAGGCCACCUGCCGGAUCUACUUUCCGGUUCAAAUUCAAAGGAAAUACUGAGACGAGAGCCGUUUUCAUUUUCCUCAAAAAAGAAAAAAGAAAAAAGAAAAACAAUAAAAAACAAAAGAAAAACUGCUUUUUUUGCUGUUGGUGCUAAAAGUGUCAUUUUCUUUUGGUUUUAUUUUGUUGCUUUUCUAUGAAAGUCCAGGGGAGCACAGAGCAACCACACACACACACACACACACACACACACACACACAGGGAACUACACACACACACACACACACGCGUGAUGUGUCAUUUCUUUGCCUUGUUGGUUAAAUUUGUUGCUUUGUUCUUCUCAGAUUUGAAAUAAAGACGUGUUGUACAAGCUGCUCAUGCCUGUUCACUGAAUACAGCACAACUACUGACUACUGCA